RNAcentral lists this microRNA precursor (206 nucleotides) under Oryza sativa Indica Group (long-grained rice). RNAcentral's name for it is "MIR812 microRNA precursor family". It matches the Rfam family "MIR812 microRNA precursor family". The record is from Rfam by way of RNAcentral. Lineage: Eukaryota; Viridiplantae; Streptophyta; Magnoliopsida; Poales; Poaceae.
AAAAAGAGAAACCCUGGGGUUUCUGGUAUCCAACGGUUUGACUGGUGCCGUUCUAAUAUUGAAAUUUUUUUAUUAAUUAGUAUUUUCAUGUUGUGUUAGAUGAUAAAACAUGAUUAAUACUUUAUGCGUGACUUAUCUUUUUAAUUUUUUUCAUAUUUUUUUCAAAUAAUACGGAGGUUAAACGUUGGACACGGAAAUUUAGGGUU